AUUCUAAUAGUGUAAUUAUGCAUACUUUAUUUUGAUUAAAGAGGAUUGAGUUAUAUUAGAAUA
Molecule: transfer RNA, 63 nt
Filed under: Nymphon brevicaudatum
Lineage: Eukaryota; Metazoa; Arthropoda; Pycnogonida; Pantopoda; Nymphonidae
Description: tRNA-Gln
Source: RNAcentral